UGUCUCAAAAAAAAAAAAAAAAAAGAAAGAAAGAAAGAAAUGAAAAAUUAUUUGCUAAAAAAAGUCAUGAUGCUUUCGUGAGUAUACCUUUUUGCAGAGUUUUGACUUUUGAACCAUCUCAGUGUUUUAUAAACAGACACACACACACACACACACCCCUAAUGGUGAACACUCCCCUCCCCCAUGGAGUACAAAUAUAAACAAGUGAACAUAUCCAUAUAUCAAAUGGUACCAAAUGAAAAACAUAACCACACUGAAGAGAAAAAAGAACUAACUCAAACUUUUGCAUACAGUAUGUGGACUCAGAGUGCAAACAAAUAUUGAACUCUAGAUCCCUGGCUUGUUUUUCCCAGUGGUAGAGCUUAGUAGUUCUAACAUGUGUUUAUUUGUUUUGCUGAGUUCUAGAACUCAGUGAAUGUGAUAGUUCAUAUUGAGUGUCAACUUGAUUGGAUUGAAGGAUGCAAAGUAUUGUUCCUGGGUGUGUCCGUGAGGGUGCUGCGAAAGGAGAGUAACAUUUGAGUCGGUGGACUGGGAGAGGCAGACCCACCCUCAAUCUGGGUGGGCACUGCCUAAUCAGCUGCCAGCGCAGCUAGAAUAAACCAGGCAGAAGAUGGAAGAGCAGACUUGCUGAGUCUUCUGGCCUUUGUCUUUCUCCCGUGCUAGAUGCGUCCUGCCCUUGAACAACAGACUCCAAGUUUUUCAGCUUUUGGACUCUUGGACUACACCAUUGGUUUGCCAGGGGUUCUCAGGCCUUUGGCCACAGACUGAAGGCUGCGCUGUCGGCUCCCCUACUUCUGAGGUUUUGGGACUCAGACUGGCUUCCUUACCCCUCAGCUUGCAGACGGCCUAUUGUGGGACCUCACCUUGUGAUCGUGUGCAUCAAUACUCCUUAAUAAACUCCCCUUCAUAUAUACAUCUAUCCUAUUAGCUCUGUCCCUCUAGAGAACCCUGACUAAUCCAGUAAAUAAAUAUGCUGAGGAUAAUGGGAGCCAAGUUUCCUACUGUCAGAGAAAGCAGAUAUAGAUGUGGAAGGGGGGACAUAAUAAAUCCUAUGUUAUUGGAAUGGAAAAUAGGUAUUAAUGGUUUAGCUAAGUAUAAAUAUAGAUAUAGUACAUAUAAUACCUAUGUGGGGGGUUAUAUAAAUGUACAUAUACACAUAUUUUCUAGCUGUCUGCUGUGAGGGUCUAGAAGUAAUACCCCAAUUUUGUUUUUGUAUUUUGUUUUCUAAACACCAUUUUCCACUAAAAAGAACCAGCAUUCCUUGAAGAAAUGGUUGAUUCAAGGGCUUGGGCAGGAAAAAUUCACAAUAAGCCUGGAAUAUUAUAUUGUACCAGAAAGUAAGAAAGGGCCCAAAGAAUGAUGGGGACAUGUCAGAAGAACUAGGAGG
Molecule: long non-coding RNA, 1387 nt
Filed under: Homo sapiens (human)
Lineage: Eukaryota; Metazoa; Chordata; Mammalia; Primates; Hominidae
Description: HSALNT0367586
Source: RNAcentral